This 497-nucleotide ribosomal RNA is filed under the name uncultured bacterium. Its description in RNAcentral is "partial 16S ribosomal RNA". It matches the Rfam family "Bacterial small subunit ribosomal RNA", at positions 27 to 507 of the family's 1533-position model. The record is from RNAcentral.
GGGGGGGGGGGGCGGGGGGGGGGGGGCGGGGGGGGCGAGCGGACGGGCGGGGGGCGUGCUGCGCUGGUGUUAGCGGCGGACGGGGGAGUGACACGUGGGUCACCUACCUAUAGUGCUGGGAUAACUUCGGGAAACCGGAGCUACUACCGGAUAAUAUUUUGAACCGCCUGGUUCCCAACUGACAGACGCUCUUUCUGUCACUUAUAGAUGUGUCCGCGCUGCCUGAGCUAGUUGGUAAGGUAACGGCUUCCCACGGCAACGAUGGAUCGCCGACCUGAGAGGGUGAUCGGCCAGACGGGAACUGAGACACGGUCGAGACUCCUACGGGAGGCAGCAGUAGGGAAUCUUCCGAAAUGGGCGAAAGCCUGACGGAGCAACGCCGCGUGAGUGAUGAAGGUCUUCGGAUCGUAAAACUCUGUUAUUAGGGAAGAACAUAUGUGUAAGUAACUGUGCACAUCUUGACGGUACCUAAGCAGAAAGCCACGGCUAACUACGUG